GACGAACGCUGGCGGCGUGCUUAACACAUGCAAGUCGAACGGAAAGGCCCUGCUUUUGUGGGGUGCUCGAGUGGCGAACGGGUGAGUAACACGUGAGUAACCUGCCCUUGACUUUGGGAUAACUUCAGGAAACUGGGGCUAAUACCGGAUAGGAGCUCCUGCUGCAUGGUGGGGGUUGGAAAGUUUCGGCGGUUGGGGAUGGACUCGCGGCUUAUCAGCUUGUUGGUGGGGUAGUGGCUUACCAAGGGUUUGACGGGUAGCCGGCCUGAGAGGGUGACCGGCCACAUUGGGACUGAGAUACGGACCAGACUCCUACGGGAGGCAGCAGGGGGGAAUAUUGCGCAAUGGGCGGAAGCCUGAUGCAGCAACGCCGCGUGCGGGAUGCCGGCCUUCGGGUUGUAAACCGCUUUCGCAUGUGACGAAGCGUGCGUGACGGUAAUGGGUAAAGAAGCACCGGCUAACUACGUG
Molecule: ribosomal RNA, 468 nt
Filed under: uncultured bacterium
Lineage: Bacteria
Description: partial 16S ribosomal RNA
Rfam family: Bacterial small subunit ribosomal RNA
Source: RNAcentral